GUGGAUAUAGCUCAGUUGCUAGAGUGCUUGCCUUGCAUGUACAAGACCCCUGGGUUCAAUCCCCAGCACCACA
This 73-nucleotide transfer RNA is filed under the name Ictidomys tridecemlineatus (thirteen-lined ground squirrel). Its description in RNAcentral is "Spermophilus tridecemlineatus (thirteen-lined ground squirrel) tRNA". It matches the Rfam family "tRNA". Rfam says of the family: Transfer RNA (tRNA) molecules are approximately 80 nucleotides in length. The record is from Rfam by way of RNAcentral. Lineage: Eukaryota; Metazoa; Chordata; Mammalia; Rodentia; Sciuridae.